AGUGAACGCUGGCGGCAGGCCUAACACAUGCAAGUCGAACGGCAGCACAGGAGAGCUUGCUCUCUGGGUGGCGAGUGGCGGACGGGUGAGGAAUAUAUCGGAAUCUACCCUUUCGUGGGGGAUAACGUAGGGAAACUUACGCUAAUACCGCAUACGAACUGAGGUUGAAAGCGGCGGACCGCAAGGCGUCGCGCGGAUGGAUGAGCCGAUAUCCGAUUAGCUAGUUGGCGGGGUAAAGGCCCACCAAGGCGACGAUCGGUAGCUGGUCUGAGAGGAUGAUCAGCCACACUGGAACUGAGACACGGUCCAGACUCCUACGGGAGGCAGCAGUGGGGAAUAUUGGACAAUGGGCGCAAGCCUGAUCCAGCCAUGCCGCGUGUGUGAAGAAGGCCUUCGGGUUGUAAAGCACUUUUGUUGGGAAAGAAAAGCGGUCGGUUAAUACCCGGUCGUUCUGACGGUACCCAAAGAAUAAGCACCGGCUAACUUCGUGCCAGCCGCCGCCGUAA
RNAcentral lists this ribosomal RNA (506 nucleotides) under uncultured bacterium. RNAcentral describes it as "partial 16S ribosomal RNA". It matches the Rfam family "Bacterial small subunit ribosomal RNA", at positions 29 to 523 of the family's 1533-position model. The record is from RNAcentral.